Molecule: ribosomal RNA, 1053 nt
Filed under: uncultured Tulasnellaceae
Lineage: Eukaryota; Fungi; Basidiomycota; Agaricomycetes; Cantharellales; Tulasnellaceae
Description: eukaryotic LSU rRNA
Rfam family: Eukaryotic large subunit ribosomal RNA (bases 519-1053)
Source: RNAcentral
UGUCCUCGGGACGUUAAUGCGCUCUGGUCGAGGAUAAAUGACCCCUCUGACCAAGGUAAAAGCCGUUGCUCUGUGUUACCUCUAUCCGAGGCACACGUUAAAGAUCGUUCCGCGUUGUGAGUCUAACACCAGUUGUAUAAACUUUUUACAACCGGUAGCGAUGGAUCCCUUGGCACGUCAUUCGAUGAAGACCGUUGCAAAUUGCGAUAAAGUGAUGUGAUGCGCAAGUCCACCACUUAUACGUGAAUCAUCGAGUUGUUGAACGCAUUGCACCGCGCCCUAAUCCGGCUGCGGUAUGCCCCUUUGAGCGUCAUUGUAUUCCUUCAGAGUCCUUUUUACAAAGGACCCGAGUUCGGAGUCCUCGGUCCUCUGGAUCGUGUUCUCUCAGAUGCGUCGCACCGAUCGCCUGAUGGGUCCUCUAAUGCCUAAGCGUGGAGUUCCUUCAGAGUCCGAGAUGUGCUUGACCGGGUGUUGAGCUCGCGUCACCAAGUCCGCCUACCAAGCGGUACUACAACGCAUGACCUCAUUGGGGUAGGACAACCCGCUAGACUUAAGCAUAUUAAUCAGCGGAGGAAAAGAAACUAACCAGGAUUCCCUCAGUAACUGCGAGUGAAGCGGGAUCGGCUCAAUGUGUGAAUCUGGCUUGGGGGACGUCCCAGGUCCGAGUUGUGCACUAUGGAUGCUUCGUCUGCGUUUGUAAAGGCGGUGGAAGUCCGUUGAAACACGGCACCUCAGAGGGUCACAGUCCUGUACCACCUGCCUGCACUCGCGCCAAUGACAAGUGCUCCUCGAGUCGCGUAGUUUUGUAAUGCUGCGCCAAGUGGGAGGUAGAGACCUUCUAAGGCUAAAUAUUAUGACGUGACCGAUAGCACACAAGUACCGCGAGGGAAAGGUGAAAAGCAACCAUGAAAAAUGGGUUGAAACAGUAGUGAAAUCGCUACCGGGAUAAGGGCUAUCGGGUGCUGGGGCUCUUUGGGUGUGCUUUAGUGCUACCCUCGGAGACGGCCCGCGAGGGUUGAUGUUGGGGCGAUAGACGCGCUGCAGGAAUUCGGC